GGCCAGCAGCCGCGGUAAGACGUAGGGGGCGAGCGUUGUCCGGAAUUACUGGGCGUAAAGAGCACGUAGGCGGGAACUUAAGUCAGGUGUGAAAGACCGGGGCUCAACUCCGGGGUGGCACUUGAAACUGGGUUUCUUGAGGGCAGGAGAGGAAAGCAGAAUUCCUGGUGUAGCGGUGAAAUGCGUAGAAAUCAGGAGGAAUACCAGUGGCGAAGGCGGCUUUCUGGACUGACCCUGACGCUGAGGUGCGAAAGCGUGGGUAGCAAACAGGAUUAGAUACCCUGGUAGUCCACGCCGUAAACGAUGGAUACUAGGUGUGGGAGGUAUCGACCCCUUCCGUGCCGCAGCUAACGCAAUAAGUAUCCCGCCUGGGGAGUACGGUCGCAAGGCUGAAACUUAAAGGAAUUGGCGGGGGA
Molecule: ribosomal RNA, 416 nt
Filed under: uncultured bacterium
Lineage: Bacteria
Description: bacterial SSU rRNA
Rfam family: Bacterial small subunit ribosomal RNA
Source: RNAcentral